This 362-nucleotide ribosomal RNA is filed under the name uncultured Methanosaeta sp. Its description in RNAcentral is "bacterial SSU rRNA". It matches the Rfam family "Archaeal small subunit ribosomal RNA", at positions 976 to 1338 of the family's 1478-position model. Lineage: Archaea; Methanobacteriati; Methanobacteriota; Methanomicrobia; Methanotrichales; Methanotrichaceae. The record is from RNAcentral.
UUAGCUGAGAGGUGGUGCAUGGCCGUCGUCAGUUCGUACUGUGAAGCAUCCUGUUAAGUCAGGCACGAGCGAGACCCACGUCCACAGUUGCCAGCAUACCCUCCGGGGUGAUGGGUACACUGUGGAGACCGCCGCUGCUAAAGCGGAGGAAGGAGUGGGCAACGGUAGGUCAGUAUGCCCCGAAUCUCCCGGGCUACACGCGGGCUACAAUGGUUGGUACAAUGGGCAUCUACCCCGAAAGGGGAAGGAAAUCUCUUAAAGCCAAUCGUAGUUCGGAUUGAGGGCUGCAACUCGCCCUCAUGAAGCUGGAAUCCGUAGUAAUCGCGUUUCAACAGAACGCGGUGAAUACGUCCCUGCUCCUU